RNAcentral lists this unclassified non-coding RNA (424 nucleotides) under soil metagenome. RNAcentral's name for it is "partial contains 5.8S ribosomal RNA, internal transcribed spacer 2, and large subunit ribosomal RNA". The stretch from base 3 to 119 matches the Rfam family "5.8S ribosomal RNA", at positions 38 to 154 of the family's 154-position model. The record is from RNAcentral.
GAGAAGAACGCAGCGAAAUGCGAUAAGUAGUGUGAAUUGCAGAAUUCCGUGAAUCAUCGAAUCUUUGAACGCACAUUGCGCCUUCUGGUAUUCCGGAAGGCAUGCCUGUUCGAGAGUCAUUAACAACCGUUUCGAUCCCUUUCUUUCAGAAAUUACAAAGAGGAAAAGGGUUUGGUUAUGGUGUAGGAGGGAAAGGGAGCGUUUAGCCUGUAAAAAAAGAGGCUGUGUUCCGCCUCCCCCCCAAAAUUGUACAGGCGGUCGUGUGCGCCCACGCAUCGAGGUGUUGUAAAAGCUGCCACGGCACUUUUCACCUGUGCAGUGCGAGAUUGGCCAGCCGGUUUAAAAACCCCUCCAAACAAUCAAAGGUUGACCUCGGAUCAGGUAGGGAUACCCGCUGAACUUAAGCAUAUCAAUAAGCGGAGGA